RNAcentral lists this ribosomal RNA (253 nucleotides) under uncultured bacterium. Its description in RNAcentral is "partial 16S ribosomal RNA". It matches the Rfam family "Bacterial small subunit ribosomal RNA", at positions 524 to 776 of the family's 1533-position model. The record is from RNAcentral.
UACGGAGGGUGCAAGCGUUAAUCGGAAUUACUGGGCGUAAAGCGCGCGUAGGUGGUUCAGUAAGUUGGAAGUGAAAUCCCCGGGCUCGACCUGGGAACUGCUUUCAAAACUGCUGAGCUAGAGUACGGUAGAGGGUAGUGGAAUUUCCUGUGUAGCGGUGAAAUGCGUAGAUAUAGGAAGGAACACCAGUGGCGAAGGCGACUACCUGGACUGAUACUGACACUGAGGUGCGAAAGCGUGGGGAGCAAACAGG